CCUCCCGUUCUUGGCGGGCCUCGGCGGCCUCGUGCCGGGGCCUGUGAUGUUCCGGAGGCAGAGAAGUGACCGGCGCGAAGUCUUCGGUGCCGGCGGCCGCCUCCGCCGGUCCUACCCUCACACGCCGGGACACGC
Small nucleolar RNA from Amazona collaria (yellow-billed parrot), 135 nucleotides. Lineage: Eukaryota; Metazoa; Chordata; Aves; Psittaciformes; Psittacidae. The record is from Ensembl.